CCUACGGGUGGCAGCAGUCGAGAAUUUUUCUCAAUGGGCGAAAGCCUGAAGGAGCGACGCCGCGUGGGGGAUGAAUGGCUUCGGCCCGUAAACCCCUGUCAUUUGCGAACAAACCCUGACAUUUAAAAGAUGUCGGGCUGAUUGUAGCGGAAGAGGAAGGGACGGCUAACUCUGUGCCAGCAGCCGCGGUAAUACAGAGGUCCCAAGCGUUGUUCGGAUUCACUGGGCGUAAAGGGUGCGUAGGCGGCCAGAAAAGUUUGAUGUGAAAUCUCCGGGCUUAACCCGGAAAAUGCAUUGAAUACUGUCUGGCUUGAGGAUUGGAAGGGAGACUGGAAUGCUCGGUGUAGCAGUGAAAUGCGUAGAUAUCGAGCGGAACACCAGUGGCGAAGGCGAGUCUCUGGACAAUUCCUGACGCUGAGGCACGAAAGCCAGGGGAGCAAACGGGAUUAGAUACCCCUGUAGUC
RNAcentral lists this ribosomal RNA (464 nucleotides) under uncultured Pedosphaera sp. Its description in RNAcentral is "bacterial SSU rRNA". It matches the Rfam family "Bacterial small subunit ribosomal RNA", at positions 338 to 795 of the family's 1533-position model. The record is from RNAcentral. Lineage: Bacteria; Pseudomonadati; Verrucomicrobiota; Pedosphaerae; Pedosphaerales; Pedosphaeraceae.